Molecule: long non-coding RNA, 592 nt
Organism: Zea mays
Lineage: Eukaryota; Viridiplantae; Streptophyta; Magnoliopsida; Poales; Poaceae
Exons: 1
Source: RefSeq, marked validated
GGAUAUUUCCUUGGUCACCGCUGCCUACAGACUUCGGCUUCUUCCCUCACGUCCCUCUCUUCCCAACCGCUCCUUCCAGCCCUCACCUCGCCGGUCUGGCGGUCUCUAGCACCUCGGCGUUGUCUCUGUCUCAGCCGGCCGCUCGACCCUAGCAUCUGCUCGCUUGCCUUCACUCUGUCCCCAGCUUGCCCCGAGGUCUGUCCUCUAUGUGUUUCUUCAAGCUCGCCAUGGCUGGCUUCGGAUCCUGCUCGCGAGUUUCCUCAGCGCCGUCAGCUUGCCGGCCUCCAGCUCGCCUGUAUCAUGGUCGUCGCGCCGUCUUUGCUCGUUGGGUCUUGCGUUGCCGCGCACACGUGCCGGACACCCCUGCUUCUCUGUUGGCUGCGCGCGCCGGACUACGUCCUUCGCAGCUCGCUGGCUUUAGCUGCAGGACACCACCAGCCGUGCCUUCCUCGACUCGUCCACAGCGUCGCUCGUGAGGUGCUCGACGUAAUGGCGGAAUUACGUAAUGGCGGAAAUGAAAAUCGUAGCUGUGCUCGUGACCUUUGAGAUAAAUUAAAUUAUUGGUGAGCUAUCAUCGCUCUCGCUCUUCGUU